This 301-nucleotide ribosomal RNA is filed under the name uncultured bacterium. Its description in RNAcentral is "partial 16S ribosomal RNA". It matches the Rfam family "Bacterial small subunit ribosomal RNA", at positions 509 to 809 of the family's 1533-position model. The record is from RNAcentral.
CAGCAGCCACGGUAAUACGUAGGGCGCGAGCGUUAAUCGGAAUUACUGGGCGUAAAGCGUGCGCAGGCGGUUGUGUAAGACAGGUGUGAAAUCCCCGGGCUUAACCUGGGAACUGCGCUUGUGACUGCACAGCUAGAGUAUGGCAGAGGGGGGUGGAAUUCCACGUGUAGCAGUGAAAUGCGUAGAGAUGUGGAGGAACACCGAUGGCGAAGGCAGCCCCCUGGGCCAAUACUGACGCUCAUGCACGAAAGCGUGGGGAGCAAACAGGAUUAGAUACCCCCGUAGUCCCUGUCUCUUAUAA